Molecule: long non-coding RNA, 2045 nt
Organism: Triticum aestivum (bread wheat)
Lineage: Eukaryota; Viridiplantae; Streptophyta; Magnoliopsida; Poales; Poaceae
Exons: 3
Source: RefSeq, a predicted model, not a curated record
ACUAACCCAGCCCAAGUUGGCUUUCACGACUAACCUAGGUCGUUCCCUUUCCUCCGCCUCCCCUACUCCUCUCGAGCCCUCCCACCUCGGCCGCCGCUGCUCGUCAGUCGUUGCCACUCCUUUGCACGACUGUGACCUACCUGCAUCCCUGCACGCUGCCCCUCACCACUCGCCUGCGAUCCUCUCUCCCGGCGCCGCUCCUCACCGCUGCCCUGCGACCCUCCGUCCUAGCGCGCCGCCCCUCGUCACCACCCUUGCAACCCUGCAUCCCGGCGCGCCGCCCCUCGUCACCGCUCCCCUGCGACCAACGGUGAAUCCAAGGUAUGACCAUGAACAAGCACAGGCAACCACAUCCCUCGUUCCACAUCCGUAGCCCCUCGCGGUACCAAUGCAUUAUCCACAUCUGUAGCCCCGUUCGUCCUCCUCCGGUGCUCCUCCUAAUUGUUUUCCACUAUUCACAUGUCCUCUGUGUAAAACGAUCCAGGAAGCCUCUUUUUUUGCGAAUAGGAAUCCUCUCCCUGAUCCCUGCUCUGGAACCUUUUAAUAUCCACUGCACCAGGACAUCCUUCCAAUCUCGCAUUCUAUGCCCAACGAAAACUGAAAUCCAAUGCAGUGGAGAAGGCGGUACAUCAAAGAAAGUUUGUAUCUGAUUGGACAGCCUCUAUUGUUGAUGAAGUUCUGGAGAAGAGGAACUAUUGCAGGCUGGUCGCAGGUAUGGAAGGAGCAAGAAGAGAUUUCAGACAUCUGAAGAUACACAUUACUUGGAUGGCUAAAUUAGUAGGUGCUACACAAGCAACUAGGUGAUUCAAUUCAGCGAAGGCGUGGUCGUACCUCUGCACAGCGAACUCAAGCACCACUUCUAAUAUUGUUGGAAAGUGGAUAAGUCGUUUUGGAGCAUUACACGAUUUGUUCAGUCUACUUCGCUAUGUUCCUUACAUGCAAAAGGUAUGGGUUUGUUUACUUGAUAUGUUCUUUCAAUUUUUCCUCACCCAGUGAUCCACAUCUUAAAAGCACAAACUACUCUGUUCAGAUGGAAUAUCUUUGAUAGUGUUGUUGCAGACUUGAAGGUAUAUGCAUCAGGAGGUCAAGGUGGCAGUGGCACCGUAACAGUAUUUAUUUGAAACUACACGCGAGGUCAAAAAAUGAUUCUAAGUUAACCUCUUUCCUCGUAUAUUUUUGUCUGCUUGGUUUGUUUUAAUGUCGUUCUUUUGUUAAAUUGAUGUACUAAAUAAUUAAGAACAUAUUUGUAUUCAUUUUUAAAAUUUCAUGCAUCUGGUGUAUGGUGCUAGAACUUGCUUAGGAAGAGCUGUUAUGAAAUUAAGAUCUGGUUUUUGUAAUUCGCUGACUGAAUCCAUGAUACUAAACUGUAUGUUUGUUAUAGUUCAUAUAUAUGUUAUACAUACACGUGCAGUUACUAGGCAUGCAUUGUGAGUAGAUAAGUUGAGUCUCCAAUUAUUUCGUUAAGCACAAAAUAUGACCUUGCAUACAUGUAUUUCCAUUCUCAUAUAAUGGAAAAUAUACUGAAGGGAAGACUCAUGCUGUAUGCUUCUGAUUCAUGUUGAAAGUGUGUAACCUGUUUGCCGCAAUUUUUCCUUUUCACAUAAUAGGAAAAGGUCAGUAACAAAAAAAGGAAGCUCACUGAGCACGUCAAUACAGAUUACCUGACGAAAGCCCAGGCGAUGAAUAGGAUAAUCAAGUUGAGAUCCCACCGAGGACGUAUAAUGGCUGAAUGAACUUCUGAUCCACGCUUUGGCAAUCCCGUGCCUCCAGGUGUGUAGGUUCAAAAGAUAAAUGGAUGAUUAUAUGGGCACGUGGCAAAUAUACUGAUGAUGAUGAUGAUGAUGAUGAUGAUGCUGGAUGCUUUCAAUUUUAGUUCAGUUGUAGGAAUGAUGUUCCUCUGUUAAGUUUUAGUUAAGUUGUAGUGAUGUUGAGGGAUACUUUCGGUUUUUGUUUUGUUGUCAAGAAAAUAUAUAGAUUAUGCAUCACAUUUGGAUGAUGUUCCUCCUGUAAUAUCCAUUGUUGUAAUCCAACAAUUAUAUAUAUAU